UACAGAGGUGGCAAGCGUUGUUCGGAAUUACUGGGCGUAAAGGGCUCGUAGGCGGCCAACUAAGUCGGACGUGAAAUCCCCAGGCUCAACCUGGGAACUGCGUCCGAUACUGGAUGGCUUGAAUCCGGGAGAGGGAUGCAGAAUUCCAGGUGUAGCGGUGAAAUGCGUAGAUAUCUGGAGGAAUACCGGUGGCGAAGGCGGCAUCCUGGACCGGCAUUGACGCUGAGGAGCGAAAGCCAGGGGAGCAAACGGG
RNAcentral lists this ribosomal RNA (253 nucleotides) under uncultured bacterium. RNAcentral describes it as "partial 16S ribosomal RNA". It matches the Rfam family "Bacterial small subunit ribosomal RNA", at positions 524 to 776 of the family's 1533-position model. The record is from RNAcentral.